GGAUAAGAAAGGUGUUUCAGGCAUUGUUACUCCUGAUUCAGAAGCCUGUAGCUUGUCAUUCAGCACUUGGCCACACCCAGUCCUGCCCACUUA
This is a long non-coding RNA of Nanorana parkeri, 93 nucleotides long. RefSeq lists it as uncharacterized. The transcript is spliced from 4 exons. Lineage: Eukaryota; Metazoa; Chordata; Amphibia; Anura; Dicroglossidae. The record is from RefSeq and is a predicted model, not a curated record.